GACAGAGGGUGCAAACGUUGCUCGGAAUUACUGGGCGUAAAGCGCGUGUAGGUGGAUUGGUGUGUCAGAUGUGAAAUCCCUGGGCUCAACCCAGGAACUGCACCUGAAACUACCAGUCUUGAGUGGUGGAGAGGGAAGUGGAAUUCCAGGUGUAGCGGUGAAAUGCGUAGAUAUCUGGAGGAACACCGGUGGCGAAGGCGGCAUCCUGGACCGGCAUUGACGCUGAGGCGCGAAAGCGUGGGGAGCAAACAGG
RNAcentral lists this ribosomal RNA (253 nucleotides) under uncultured bacterium. RNAcentral's name for it is "partial 16S ribosomal RNA". It matches the Rfam family "Bacterial small subunit ribosomal RNA", at positions 524 to 776 of the family's 1533-position model. The record is from RNAcentral.